This 233-nucleotide unclassified non-coding RNA is filed under the name plant metagenome. RNAcentral describes it as "partial contains small subunit ribosomal RNA, internal transcribed spacer 1, and 5.8S ribosomal RNA". The record is from RNAcentral.
UUUCCGUAGGUGAACCUGCGGAAGGAUCAUUAUUGGAUUUUGAAGCUUCAGGCUGCUGCUGGCUCUCCUCGGAGGGCAUGUGCACGCUUGUUGUCCAUUAUUUCUCCCACUGUGCACAAAUUGUAGACCUUUCAGUAGGCCUAUGUUGUUUUUCACAAUCUCUGAAUGUAAUAGAAUGGUUUUGAAUCUUGGGAAAUACAAUACAACUUUCAGCAACGGAUCUCUUGGCUCUC